Molecule: long non-coding RNA, 804 nt
Filed under: Dermacentor andersoni
Lineage: Eukaryota; Metazoa; Arthropoda; Arachnida; Ixodida; Ixodidae
Description: uncharacterized LOC126547440
Source: RNAcentral
UCGGUGGCUGUUCUUUGACUGACAUCCACGCUGCCGGUUCGGGACUCUAAUGCAGAUUGCGUCGCUGGCUGUUCCUUGAUUUACAUCCACGCUGCCCCUUCGGGGUUCCGACGCAGGUAGCGUCGCUGGCUGUUCUUUGAUUGACAUCCACGCUGCCGGACGCCGCUUCGGGACUUUGACGCAGGUUGCAUUGCUGGCAGUUCUUUGAUUGACAUCCACGCUGCCGGACGCCGCUGCGGUACUCUGACGCGGGUUGCAUUGCUGGUAGUUCUUUGAUUGACAUCCACGCUGCCUCACGCCACUUCGGGACUCUGACGCAGGUUGCGUCGCAGGCUGUUCUUUGAUUGACAUCCACGCUGCCGCACGCCGCUUCGGGACUCUGACGCAAGUUGCGCCGCUGGGUGUUCUUUAAUUGACAUCUACGGUGCUGCACGCCGCUUCGGGACUCUGACGCAGGUUGCGCCGCUGGCUGUUCUUUAAUUGACAUCUACGGUGCUGCACGCUACUUCGUGACUCUGACGCAGGUUGCGCCGCUGGCUGUUCUUUAAUUGACAUCCAUGCUGCCGGACGCCGCUUCGGGACUCUGACGCAGGUUGCAUUGCUGGCAGUUCUUUGAUUGACAUCCACGCGGCCGCACGCCGUUUCGGAACUCUGACGCAGGUUGCGUCGCUGGCUGUUCUUUGAUUGACAUCCACGCUGCCGCACGCCGCUUCGGGACUCUGACGCAGGUUGCGCCGCUGGCUGUUCUUUAAUUGACAUCUAUGGAGCUGCACGCCACUUCAGGACUCUGACGCAUGUUGUGUG